This 440-nucleotide ribosomal RNA is filed under the name uncultured bacterium. Its description in RNAcentral is "partial 16S ribosomal RNA". It matches the Rfam family "Bacterial small subunit ribosomal RNA", at positions 338 to 795 of the family's 1533-position model. The record is from RNAcentral.
CCUACGGGCGGCAGCAGUGGGGAAUAUUGCACAAUGGGGGAAACCCUGAUGCAGCGACGCCGCGUGAGUGAAGAAGUAUCUCGGUACGUAAAGCUCUAUCAGCAGGAGAGAAAAUGACGGUACCUGACUAAGAUGCCCCGGCUAACUACAUUCCAGCAGCCGCGGUAAUGCGUAGGGGGCAAGCGUUAUCCGGAUUUACUGGGUGUAAAGGGAGCGUAGACGGCGCUGCAAGUCCGGAGUGAAAGCCCAUGGCUUAACCAUGGUACUGCUCUGGAAACUGUAGAGCUUGAGUGCGGGAGGGGCAGGCGGAAUUCCUAGUGUAGCGGUGAAAUGCGUAGAUAUUAGGAGGAACACCGGCGGCGAAGGCGGCCUGCUGGACCGUAACUGACGUUGAGGCUCGAAAGCGUGGGGAGCAAACAGGAUUAGAUACCCCGGUAGUC